UAUUUUUAAAUGACCAGUUCGAAAAUUGGUUAUCCCAUGCUAUUUUGACUAUAAAUCCACUUGCGACUUGGGACUGUUGGUCAGACUGGACUACCAUACGGGCUGGCUAGAAUGAGCUCCGAUUAUGAAAAGUCCAAGGGUUUGUUUUAAGAAUUUGAGCGGAUUGUCCCCUCACGGGCUACUAUUUAAGAAGGGAUUUCUACAUAUAUAUGCCAUUUAGCAAACCUUAUUACCAAAAUUGUGUAUGGUUUGGUAUUUACCCGCCUAUACCAAUGUUUUGUUUACAAAAAUUGUACCAAAC
This 301-nucleotide long non-coding RNA is filed under the name Nicotiana benthamiana. RNAcentral's name for it is "long non-coding RNA (NBEN_LNC035771)". The record is from RNAcentral. Lineage: Eukaryota; Viridiplantae; Streptophyta; Magnoliopsida; Solanales; Solanaceae.